RNAcentral lists this ribosomal RNA (2877 nucleotides) under Cupriavidus taiwanensis. Its description in RNAcentral is "bacterial LSU rRNA". It matches the Rfam family "Bacterial large subunit ribosomal RNA". The record is from RNAcentral. Lineage: Bacteria; Pseudomonadati; Pseudomonadota; Betaproteobacteria; Burkholderiales; Burkholderiaceae. RNAcentral also lists the same sequence under 1 other name.
UCAAGCGAACAAGUGCAUGUGGUGGAUGCCUUGGCGAUCACAGGCGAUGAAGGACGCGGUAGCCUGCGAAAAGCUUCGGGGAGCUGGCAAACGAGCUUUGAUCCGGAGAUGUCCGAAUGGGGAAACCCGGCCCGUAUGGGUCAUCCCACACUGAAUCCAUAGGUGUGGGAAGCGAACGCGGCGAACUGAAACAUCUAAGUAGCUGCAGGAACAGAAAUCAACCGAGAUUCCCAAAGUAGUGGCGAACGAAAUGGGAAGAGCCUUGUACUCUUUAGCAGUGGUGUUAGCAGAACGGGAUGGAAAGCCCGGCCAUAGCAGGUGAUAGCCCUGUAUGCGAAAACACGAUUGUGGAACUAGGUGUACGACAAGUAGGGCGGGACACGUGAAAUCCUGUCUGAAGAUGGGGGGACCAUCCUCCAAGGCUAAAUACUCGUGAUCGACCGAUAGUGAACCAGUACCGUGAGGGAAAGGCGAAAAGAACCCCGGGAGGGGAGUGAAAUAGAUCCUGAAACCGCAUGCAUACAAACAGUCGGAGCCCUUUCGGGGGUGACGGCGUACCUUUUGUAUAAUGGGUCAGCGACUUACAUUCAGUGGCAAGCUUAACCGAUUAGGGAAGGCGUAGCGAAAGCGAGUCCGAACAGGGCGUUGAGUCGCUGGGUGUAGACCCGAAACCAGAUGAUCUAUCCAUGGCCAGGUUGAAGGUGCGGUAACACGUACUGGAGGACCGAACCCACUAACGUUGAAAAGUUAGGGGAUGAGCUGUGGAUAGGGGUGAAAGGCUAAACAAAUCUGGAAAUAGCUGGUUCUCUCCGAAAACUAUUUAGGUAGUGCCUCGUGUCUCACCUUCGGGGGUAGAGCACUGUCAUGGUUGGGGGGUCUAUUGCUGAUUACCCCGCCAUAGCAAACUCCGAAUACCGAAGAGUGCAAUCACGGGAGACAGACAUCGGGUGCUAACGUCCGGUGUCAAGAGGGAAACAACCCAGACCGCCAGCUAAGGUCCCCAAAUAUAGCUAAGUGGGAAACGAAGUGGGAAGGCUAAAACAGUCAGGAGGUUGGCUUAGAAGCAGCCACCCUUUAAAGAAAGCGUAAUAGCUCACUGAUCGAGUCGUCCUGCGCGGAAGAUGUAACGGGGCUAAGCUAUAUACCGAAGCUGCGGACGCACGCAAGUGCGUGGUAGGAGAGCGUUCUGUAAGCCUGUGAAGGUGUCUUGUAAAGGAUGCUGGAGGUAUCAGAAGUGCGAAUGCUGACAUGAGUAGCGAUAAAGGGGGUGAAAGGCCCCCUCGCCGUAAGCCCAAGGUUUCCUACGCAACGUUCAUCGGCGUAGGGUGAGUCGGCCCCUAAGGCGAGGCAGAGAUGCGUAGCUGAUGGGAAGCAGGUUAAUAUUCCUGCACCGUCGUAUGAUGCGAUGGGGGGACGGAUCGCGGAAGGUUGUCCGGGUGUUGGAAGUCCCGGUCCCUGCAUUGGAGAAGGCGCUCAGGCAAAUCCGGGCGCGGGAUUCAAGGAUGUGGGGCGAGCGGCCUAGUGCUGCGAAGCAAUUGGAAGUGGUUCCAAGAAAAGCCUCUAAGCUUCAGUCAUACGAGACCGUACCGCAAACCGACACAGGUGGGCGAGAUGAGUAUUCUAAGGCGCUUGAGAGAACUCGGGAGAAGGAACUCGGCAAAUUGGUACCGUAACUUCGGGAUAAGGUACGCCCUGGUAGCUUGACUGGCCUGCGCCAGAAGGGUGAAGGGGUUGCAAUAAAAUGGUGGCUGCGACUGUUUAAUAAAAACACAGCACUCUGCAAACACGAAAGUGGACGUAUAGGGUGUGACGCCUGCCCGGUGCCGGAAGAUUAAAUGAUGGGGUGCAAGCUCUUGAUUGAAGUCCCGGUAAACGGCGGCCGUAACUAUAACGGUCCUAAGGUAGCGAAAUUCCUUGUCGGGUAAGUUCCGACCUGCACGAAUGGCGUAACGAUGGCCACACUGUCUCCUCCCGAGACUCAGCGAAGUUGAAGUGUUUGUGAUGAUGCAAUCUCCCCGCGGCUAGACGGAAAGACCCCAUGAACCUUUACUGUAGCUUUGCAUUGGACUUUGAACCGAUCUGUGUAGGAUAGGUGGGAGGCUUUGAAGCGUGGACGCCAGUUCACGUGGAGCCGUCCUUGAAAUACCACCCUGGUUUGUUUGAGGUUCUAACCUUGGCCCGUGAAUCCGGGUCGGGGACAGUGCAUGGUAGGCAGUUUGACUGGGGCGGUCUCCUCCCAAAGUGUAACGGAGGAGUUCGAAGGUACGCUUGGUACGGUCGGACAUCGUACCUAAAGUGCAAUGGCAAAAGCGUGCUUAACUGCGAGACCGACAAGUCGAGCAGGUGCGAAAGCAGGACAUAGUGAUCCGGUGGUUCUGAAUGGAAGGGCCAUCGCUCAACGGAUAAAAGGUACUCUGGGGAUAACAGGCUGAUACCGCCCAAGAGUUCAUAUCGACGGCGGUGUUUGGCACCUCGAUGUCGGCUCAUCUCAUCCUGGGGCUGUAGCCGGUCCCAAGGGUAUGGCUGUUCGCCAUUUAAAGAGGUACGUGAGCUGGGUUUAAAACGUCGUGAGACAGUUUGGUCCCUAUCUGCCGUGGGCGUUGGAAUCUUGACGGGGGCUGCUCCUAGUACGAGAGGACCGGAGUGGACGUACCGCUGGUGUACCUGUUGUCUCGCCAGAGGCAUCGCAGGGUAGCUAUGUACGGAAGAGAUAACCGCUGAAAGCAUCUAAGCGGGAAACUCGCCUGAAGAUGAGGAUUCCCUGGAGGCUUGACCUCCUUGAAGGGUCGUUCGAGACCAGGACGUUGAUAGGCUGGGUGUGGAAGCGCAGUAAUGCGUUAAGCUAACCAGUACUAAUUGCCCGUAAGGCUUGAUCCU